RNAcentral lists this ribosomal RNA (505 nucleotides) under uncultured bacterium. Its description in RNAcentral is "partial 16S ribosomal RNA". It matches the Rfam family "Bacterial small subunit ribosomal RNA", at positions 28 to 507 of the family's 1533-position model. The record is from RNAcentral.
GACGAACGCUGGCGGCGUGCCUAAUACAUGCAAGUAGAACGCACAGUUUAUACCGUAGCUUGCUACACCAUAGACUGUGAGUUGCGAACGGGUGAGUAACGCGUAGGUAACCUGCCUGGUAGCGGGGGAUAACUAUUGGAAACGAUAGCUAAUACCGCAUAAUAUUAAUUAUUGCAUGAUAAUUGAUUGAAAGAUGCAACUGCAUCACUACCAGAUGGACCUGCGUUGUAUUAGCUAGUAGGUGAGGUAACGGCUCACCUAGGCGACGAUACAUAGCCGACCUGAGAGAGUGAUCGGCCACACUGGGACUGAGACACGGCCCAGACUCCUACAGGAGGCAGCAGUAGGGAAUCUUCGGCAAUAGACGAAAGUCUGACCGAGCAACGCCGCGUGAGUGAAGAAGGUUUUCGGAUCGUAAAGCUCUGUUGUAAGAGAAGAACGGGUGUGGGAGUGGAAAGUUCACACUGUGACGGUAUCUUACCAGAAAGGGACGGCUGACUACGUG